This 789-nucleotide ribosomal RNA is filed under the name uncultured archaeon. RNAcentral describes it as "bacterial SSU rRNA". It matches the Rfam family "Archaeal small subunit ribosomal RNA", at positions 85 to 879 of the family's 1478-position model. The record is from RNAcentral.
ACGGCUCAGUAACACGUGGAUAACCUACCCUCAGGAGGGGGAUAACCCCGGGAAACUGGGGAUAAUACCCCAUAGAUCAGGGACGCUGGAAUGCCCCCUGGUCGAAAGGUCCGCCGCCUGAGGAUGGGUCUGCGGCCGAUUAGGUUGUUGUUGGGGUAACGGCCCAACAAGCCUUUGAUCGGUACGGGUUGUGAGAGCAAGAGCCCGGAGAUGGAUUCUGAGACACAAAUCCAGGCCCUACGGGGCGCAGCAGGCGCGAAAACUUUACAAUGCGAGAAAUCGUGAUAAGGGAACCCCGAGUGCCCGUAAAUUCGGGCUGUCCAUCAGUGUAAAAAACUGGUGAAGAAAGGGCCGGGCAAGACCGGUGCCAGCCGCCGCGGUAAUACCGGCGGCUCGAGUGGUGGCCACUAUUACUGGGCUUAAAGCGUCCGUAGCUGGAUUGUUAAGUCUCUUGGGAAAUCCGCCGGCUUAACCGGCGGGCGUUCAGGAGAAACUGGCAAUCUAGGGACCGGGAGAGGUGAGAGGUACUCCAGGGGUAGGAGUGAAAUCCUGUAAUCCUUGGGGGACCACCUGUGGCGAAGGCGUCUCACUAGAACGGCUCCGACAGUGAGGGACGAAAGCUGGGGGAGCAAACCAGAUUAGAUACCCGGGUAGUCCCAGCUGUAAACGAUGCGCGUUAGGUGUAUCGGUGACCACGAGUCAUCGAGGUGCCGAAGGGAAACCGUGAAACGUGCCGCCUGGGAAGUACGGUCGCAAGGCUGAAACUUAAAGGAAUUGGCGGGGGAGCAC